UACGUAGGGGGCGAGCGUUGUCCGGAAUUAUUGGGCGUAAAGAGCUCGUAGGCGGUUCGGCAAGUCACGUGUGAAAUCUCCACGCUCAACGUGGAGGCGCCACGUGAGACUGCUGUGACUCGAGUCCGGUAGGGGAGCGUGGAAUUCCCGGUGUAGCGGUGAAAUGCGCAGAGAUCGGGAGGAACACCUAUGGCGAAGGCAGCUCGCUGGGACGUUACUGACGCUGAGACGCGAAAGCGUGGGGAGCAAACAGG
RNAcentral lists this ribosomal RNA (254 nucleotides) under uncultured bacterium. RNAcentral describes it as "partial 16S ribosomal RNA". It matches the Rfam family "Bacterial small subunit ribosomal RNA", at positions 524 to 776 of the family's 1533-position model. The record is from RNAcentral.